This 260-nucleotide long non-coding RNA is filed under the name Physcomitrium patens. RNAcentral's name for it is "long non-coding RNA (PPAT_LNC005841)". The record is from RNAcentral. Lineage: Eukaryota; Viridiplantae; Streptophyta; Bryopsida; Funariales; Funariaceae.
CUCUAGACGUUACAGAGAACCCCGAACAACCCAAACUGUUAAUCUUUAAUACCGCUUUGUACUUACGAUCUUGUAUCCACUGACUGUCUUGUUAGAUUAAUCCAAUAAAUUUCAUUCACUCUGCAUACUCAAUCCUAUAGACACCCUUUUAAUCCUUCAAUCACAGACGUAACUCGAUUUCACAAAACAGUCAAGAGUAUUCAAACCUACUUCAUUAAAAAUCUCGAUUCACCAUUACAAUACUGACUUCUGCAGCGAUU